AGAGUUUCUUUCUGGCUCAGGAUGAACGCUGGCGGCGUGCCUAACACAUGCAAGUCGAACGGGGUUAAAGAGAAAUUUUCUUAUGGACCUUUAACUUAGUGGCGGACGGGUGAGUAACGCGUGGAUAACCUGCCUCGCACAGGGGGAUAGCAGCUGGAAACGGCCGGUAAUACCGCAUAAGACCACGGUCCCGCAUGGGACAGGGGUAAAAGAUUUAUCGGUGCGAGAUGGAUCCGCGUCUGAUUAGCUUGUUGGCGGGGUAACGGCCCACCAAGGCAACGAUCAGUAGCCGGCCUGAGAGGGUGAACGGCCACAUUGGGACUGAGACACGGCCCAAACUCCUACGGGAGGCAGCAGUGGGGAAUAUUGCACAAUGGGCGCAAGCCUGAUGCAGCAACGCCGCGUGAGUGAAGAAGUAUUUCGGUAUGUAAAGCUCUAUCGGCAGGGAAGAAAGGCCCGAAAGGGAGAUGACGGUACCUGACUAAGAAGCCCCGGCUAACUACGUGCCAGCAGCCGCGGUAAUACGUAGGGGGCAAGCGUUAUCCGGAUUUACUGGGUGUAAAGGGAGCGCAGACGGCAGUGCAAGUCUGAUGUGAAAGCCCGGGGCUCAACCCCGGAACUGCAUUGGAAACUGUACAGCUUGAGUGUCGGAGGGGUAAGCGGAAUUCCUAGUGUAGCGGUGAAAUGCGUAGAUAUUAGGAGGAACACCGGUGGCGAAGGCGGCUUACUGGACGAUCACUGACGUUGAGGCUCGAAAGCGUGGGGAGCAAACAGGAUUAGAUACCCUGGUAGUCCACGCUGUAAAC
Molecule: ribosomal RNA, 806 nt
Filed under: uncultured bacterium
Lineage: Bacteria
Description: bacterial SSU rRNA
Rfam family: Bacterial small subunit ribosomal RNA
Source: RNAcentral